UGGGGAAUAUUGCACAAUGGGCGCAAGCCUGAUGCAGCCAUGCCGCGUGUGUGAAGAAGGCCUUCGGGUUGUAAAGCACUUUCAGCGAGGAGGAAGGGUAGUGUGUUAAUAGCACAUUGCAUUGACGUUACUCGCAGAAGAAGCACCGGCUAACUCCGUGCCAGCAGCCGCGGUAAUACGGAGGGGGCAAGCGUUAAUCGGAAUUACUGGGCGUAAAGCGCACGCAGGCGGUUUGUUAAGUCAGAUGUGAAAUCCCCGCGCUUAACGUGGGAACUGCAUUUGAAACUGGCAAGCUAGAGUCUUGUAGAGGGGGGUAGAAUUCCAGGUGUAGCGGUGAAAUGCGUAGAGAUCUGGAGGAAUACCGGUGGCGAAGGCGGCCCCCUGGACAAAGACUGACGCUCAGGUGUGAAAGCGUGGGGAGCAAACA
RNAcentral lists this ribosomal RNA (427 nucleotides) under uncultured bacterium. RNAcentral describes it as "partial 16S ribosomal RNA". It matches the Rfam family "Bacterial small subunit ribosomal RNA", at positions 355 to 774 of the family's 1533-position model. The record is from RNAcentral.